AUUAAGUUUCGCCAUCCACACGAAUCCUGCAGCGAUCUGGCCAACAUGGGAGUAAACGAUGACGUCUCCGGAAAACGUCAAAACAUAACGGCCAGGAACAUCUCUAAAAUAUAAUAUCGCUCGUUUCCUCUAAUUGUAAGAUUUACGUCAUCAAGAUACACAUCUCGACAUACACCCCGAUCAACAGGAAAUUGGCUAUCCCAUCCCUGCACGGCCACUUCUUCCCAGUCAGGUCUCGCGCAGAGGUGGAAUCAACUUUUAAAAGCGGUGCAGUCAACAGAAUCUUCGACUAUCUUCCGACGCAGACUGAAGAUCCACCUCUUCAGACUGCAUCUCUGUUCCCCUCCCAUCCCCACACGCUUGGGCUCUCAACUUUAGUAAAAAUCGAGGCUAUUGUGUUUUUAUGUUUUAGGCUACAUCUACGUUUUUAUGUUUCUCUUAUUUGGACUUGUCAUGACUGCAGUUCUUGAGUAUUUCAA
Anguilla anguilla (European eel) is the source of this 479-nucleotide long non-coding RNA. RefSeq lists it as uncharacterized. Lineage: Eukaryota; Metazoa; Chordata; Actinopteri; Anguilliformes; Anguillidae. The transcript is spliced from 2 exons. The record is from RefSeq and is a predicted model, not a curated record.